This 658-nucleotide unclassified non-coding RNA is filed under the name Hevea brasiliensis (rubber tree). Lineage: Eukaryota; Viridiplantae; Streptophyta; Magnoliopsida; Malpighiales; Euphorbiaceae. The record is from RNAcentral.
CUACAUGUGGGAAGAAAAAAAAAACGCGAGUGUUUAUGACUGGGCUCUAAGCGCGCUUGAUGCCUUGGUGCGCCUGGGCUCGCCUGGGUGCGCCUCCUGUAGGUCGCUCGCCUUUGGGUGUCUCAGGCGAUGGGCCUGAGGCGUGCCUCGGGUGCGCCUUUAAUAACAGUGCCCCCUAAUUUAUGGAAUCACCAAAAGUCAAUAGUUUAAGAAUAAUUUAUGGAACUAUGUUCCAUUAUAAAUAUGCAUGUAAACAAGUGAUGCAAAUGAAACAUGUAGCCUUUGUGUUGUUUCUCCCUUCCUUCCUCUCUUUUUUCUUAUUCUCUUUCUAAAGCUUAACAUGUUAAGUUCUUAGAAAGAGAAUAAGGAGAAAAGGAGAAGGGAAUAACCACAAAGACUAUAUUUUCAUUCACUUCACAUUUUGGUUACACAAUACAUGAGUCCAUAUUUAUAAUGGAGGAUACAAUACAUAUACCAUAAAUUAUUCCUAAACUACCGACUUUUGAUGACCCAUAAAUUAAAGGAGAAUUUCAACACUCCUCUUGAAUCAUGGGAUUUUCCAAUAUGUAACGAAUCUCAUGAAUUAAGUAAACUCUCAUCAAUUUUAACAAUUCUGAUAAAAGUCACAUUGCUUCUUGUUAUGGAAAGUCAAUCACUA